Molecule: ribosomal RNA, 1481 nt
Filed under: Salmonella enterica
Lineage: Bacteria; Pseudomonadati; Pseudomonadota; Gammaproteobacteria; Enterobacterales; Enterobacteriaceae
Description: bacterial SSU rRNA
Rfam family: Bacterial small subunit ribosomal RNA
Source: RNAcentral
UCGAACGGUAACAGGAAGCAGCUUGCUGCUUUGCUGACGAGUGGCGGACGGGUGAGUAAUGUCUGGGAAACUGCCUGAUGGAGGGGGAUAACUACUGGAAACGGUGGCUAAUACCGCAUAACGUCGCAAGACCAAAGAGGGGGACCUUCGGGCCUCUUGCCAUCAGAUGUGCCCAGAUGGGAUUAGCUAGUUGGUGAGGUAACGGCUCACCAAGGCGACGAUCCCUAGCUGGUCUGAGAGGAUGACCAGCCACACUGGAACUGAGACACGGUCCAGACUCCUACGGGAGGCAGCAGUGGGGAAUAUUGCACAAUGGGCGCAAGCCUGAUGCAGCCAUGCCGCGUGUAUGAAGAAGGCCUUCGGGUUGUAAAGUACUUUCAGCGGGGAGGAAGGUGUUGUGGUUAAUAACCGCAGCAAUUGACGUUACCCGCAGAAGAAGCACCGGCUAACUCCGUGCCAGCAGCCGCGGUAAUACGGAGGGUGCAAGCGUUAAUCGGAAUUACUGGGCGUAAAGCGCACGCAGGCGGUCUGUCAAGUCGGAUGUGAAAUCCCCGGGCUCAACCUGGGAACUGCAUUCGAAACUGGCAGGCUUGAGUCUUGUAGAGGGGGGUAGAAUUCCAGGUGUAGCGGUGAAAUGCGUAGAGAUCUGGAGGAAUACCGGUGGCGAAGGCGGCCCCCUGGACAAAGACUGACGCUCAGGUGCGAAAGCGUGGGGAGCAAACAGGAUUAGAUACCCUGGUAGUCCACGCCGUAAACGAUGUCUACUUGGAGGUUGUGCCCUUGAGGCGUGGCUUCCGGAGCUAACGCGUUAAGUAGACCGCCUGGGGAGUACGGCCGCAAGGUUAAAACUCAAAUGAAUUGACGGGGGCCCGCACAAGCGGUGGAGCAUGUGGUUUAAUUCGAUGCAACGCGAAGAACCUUACCUGGUCUUGACAUCCACAGAAGAAUCCAGAGAUGGAUUUGUGCCUUCGGGAACUGUGAGACAGGUGCUGCAUGGCUGUCGUCAGCUCGUGUUGUGAAAUGUUGGGUUAAGUCCCGCAACGAGCGCAACCCUUAUCCUUUGUUGCCAGCGGUCCGGCCGGGAACUCAAAGGAGACUGCCAGUGAUAAACUGGAGGAAGGUGGGGAUGACGUCAAGUCAUCAUGGCCCUUACGACCAGGGCUACACACGUGCUACAAUGGCGCAUACAAAGAGAAGCGACCUCGCGAGAGCAAGCGGACCUCAUAAAGUGCGUCGUAGUCCGGAUUGGAGUCUGCAACUCGACUCCAUGAAGUCGGAAUCGCUAGUAAUCGUGGAUCAGAAUGCCACGGUGAAUACGUUCCCGGGCCUUGUACACACCGCCCGUCACACCAUGGGAGUGGGUUGCAAAAGAAGUAGGUAGCUUAACCUUCGGGAGGGCGCUUACCACUUUGUGAUUCAUGACUGGGGUGAAGUCGUAACAAGGUAACCGUAGGGGAACCUGCGGUUGGAUCACCUCCUUA